Long non-coding RNA from Chiroxiphia lanceolata (lance-tailed manakin), 618 nucleotides. RefSeq lists it as uncharacterized. Lineage: Eukaryota; Metazoa; Chordata; Aves; Passeriformes; Pipridae. The record is from RefSeq and is a predicted model, not a curated record. The transcript has 3 exons.
GUGCGGGACUGCUGCUCGGGUGUGAAGCGGCGGCGUAAAGGCUUGUUAAUUACCGCACUGCUUUGUUUCGCCAGCCCGAAGCCUUUUGUCAGAGGAGAAUUCAGUUCUGGCUGGUUCCUGUGCUGUCGGGGAUUGUUUUCUCUGCGGGCAGAUCAGUCCUGCUUCACAUCUCAUCGCCGUGUGACUCCAUCUUCGAUGUGUGGCAGGCUUGCCUUUCGCUCUCUCUCGUUUUGUUUUUGUUUGUUCUUUUUUUUUUUUAAUCAAUAAAACCAUCUCGUGCACCAAAAAAAAAAAGAAAAAGAAAAAAGAAAAAAACAAACAAAACCAAAACCAAGCCUACAACAAAAAACAAAACCGUCCCAAAACUGUGUUUGUCACUGACUGUGACCAAAUUAGCAAGUUAUUAAAUAGGCUAUUUUCAUUUCAUGCUUUUCACUAACUUGAAUGGGAACAGUGUUUGUCUGGCUUUGAAGUUUCUGUAAGUGGUUUUAGACUUGACUCUUUGUUGGCGGCUUUGAUACGUGAAGGGAAAGCUCUGCAAUGGUAAUGUGUCAGCUCAGCAAAUAUUGAUUCGCUCUUAAGGAACUGGUACUUUGCAGUAGGAAGAGCACACCUCUG